AGCGAACGCUGGCGGUAGGCCUAACACAUGCAAGUCGAACGGCAGCACAGUAAGAGCUUGCUCUUACGGGUGGCGAGUGGCGGACGAGUGAGGAAUACAUCGGAAUCUACUUUUUCGUGGGGGAUAACGUAGGGAAACUUACGCUAAUACCGCAUACGACCUACGGGUGAAAGCAGUGGAUCUUCGGACCUUGCGCGAUUGAAUGAGCCGAUGUCGGAUUAGCUAGUUGGCGGGGUAAAGGCCCACCAAGGCGACGAUCCGUAGCUGGUCUGAGAGGAUGAUCAGCCACACUGGAACUGAGACACGGUCCAGACUCCUACGGGAGGCAGCAGUGGGGAAUAUUGGACAAUGGGCGCAAGCCUGAUCCAGCCAUACCGCGUGGGUGAAGAAGGCCUUCGGGUUGUAAAGCCCUUUUGUUGGGAAAGAAAAGCAGCAGGUUAAUACCCCGCUGUUCUGACGGUACCCAAAGAAUAAGCACCGGCUAACUUCGUG
RNAcentral lists this ribosomal RNA (492 nucleotides) under uncultured bacterium. Its description in RNAcentral is "partial 16S ribosomal RNA". It matches the Rfam family "Bacterial small subunit ribosomal RNA", at positions 29 to 507 of the family's 1533-position model. The record is from RNAcentral.